AGUUGGUGGAGUGAUUUGUCUGCUUAAUUGCGAUAACGAACGAGACCUUAACCUGCUAAAUAGUUACGCGAACCUCUGCGUUCGUGGCCAACUUCUUAGAGGGACUUUCGCGUGUUUUAACCGAAGGAAGUUUGAGGCAAUAACAGGU
Molecule: ribosomal RNA, 148 nt
Filed under: Apusomonadidae sp.
Lineage: Eukaryota; Apusomonadida; Apusomonadidae
Description: partial small subunit ribosomal RNA
Rfam family: Eukaryotic small subunit ribosomal RNA
Source: RNAcentral